Molecule: ribosomal RNA, 422 nt
Filed under: uncultured bacterium
Lineage: Bacteria
Description: bacterial SSU rRNA
Rfam family: Bacterial small subunit ribosomal RNA
Source: RNAcentral
UAAGGAAUAUUGGUCAAUGGGCGGAAGCCUGAACCAGCCAUGCCGCGUGCAGGAAGACGGCCUUAUGGGUUGUAAACUGCUUUUGUCAGGGAAUAAACCCUCGUUCGUGAACGAGGCUGAAGGUACCUGAAGAAUAAGCAUCGGCUAACUCCGUGCCAGCAGCCGCGGUAAUACGGAGGAUGCGAGCGUUAUCCGGAUUCAUUGGGUUUAAAGGGUGCGCAGGCGGGCGUAUAAGUCAGGGGUGAAAUGCCACGGCUCAACCGUGGAACUGCCUUUGAUACUGUAUGUCUUGAGUUUAGUUGAAGUGGGCGGAAUGUAGCAUGUAGCGGUGAAAUGCAUAGAGAUGCUACAGAACACCGAUAGCGAAGGCAGCUCACUAAGUUAAAACUGACGCUCAUGCACGAAAGCGUGGGGAUCAAACA